CAGGAUUUUAUCGCUGUGGAAGAUGUUCUCGCUGUCCCCGCAGUUGUCCUCGUACUUGGUCUCAAUGUAGAUGGAGAACUUGGGCAGGAAGGAGCACGUGUACUCAGUGAUGGUGUAGGGGUAGUAGUUCCAGGCCUUCUCCGUGAUGUAGAAGAUGCGGGGAGUCACCGCCCGUGCCCAGCCGGGCAGCUUGCUGGAGAGGUGGACGCGCUUCUCAGUGAACUGCCCAGGGCCGUGCACGGGGUCCUCGUGGGGUUCGUUCCGCACCACCUCCACGCCCUCACCCUUCUCGCUCUCCUGGUGGCUGUGCUUGCUGAUGGUGUACAGCUGCCCCACGCGGUACUCCUCGGUGGUGAGCGGCAUGCAGAUGCGGUACUCCUUGACCAGCAUGGUGGCGGGGUCACACGUGGGCACAGCUCAUCCCGGGUCCGCUCCGGUCCCGUUCCCCGCUCCCCGCUGCCCGCUGCCCGCUCCCCGCCGUGUCCCGGCCGCCCCGGGCCGUGCGCAGGAGCUGCCGCCUCCCGCACCGCCGUUCCGGCGCA
Molecule: long non-coding RNA, 542 nt
Filed under: Gallus gallus (chicken)
Lineage: Eukaryota; Metazoa; Chordata; Aves; Galliformes; Phasianidae
Source: RNAcentral